This is a long non-coding RNA of Salvia miltiorrhiza (redroot sage), 623 nucleotides long. RefSeq lists it as uncharacterized. The transcript has 2 exons. NCBI's taxonomy places the organism in Eukaryota, Viridiplantae, Streptophyta, Magnoliopsida, Lamiales, Lamiaceae. The record is from RefSeq and is a predicted model, not a curated record.
UUAGCGAAGCUUGAAUGCUACAGUGCAUAUGUUUUUUUUCCUCAAAAUUGCCCCGCAAUACUCAGCUGUCGUUGCUGCUACUCUUAUUCAAACAAGUAAAGCCGCUAAAUCCCCUAUUACUGUUGUUCUUGCCGAUCAAUUCGAGCUCCCGCCAUAGCUUCCGGCCGAGGUCGAAGGCAUCGUUCGCGGACUUCAAAAUCGAGCCUUUGGAGCUUAUAGCGGCGGGGAAAUUCAAGCUCCAAAGAGGGGUUUUAGCGAAUUCGUGGAUUCUUCAGAUUCUCCUCGCUCUUGAACAGGAAAGACUUGAAAUCGAAGAAGCACAAAUUUGUGAACAACUUUGUGAGUUGUAGCAGCAAAUUUGGGUACAACAAAUUUAUGGAAUCGAGGGGCGAAGGGGAUGAGAGGGGGCCUCUUUACAAUAGCAGUAGCAGCACCAGCUUUGUGAGCAGCUCUGCACAAAUUUAUGGAAGCAUUGAGAUGUCUGGCUUCAUUUUAUGAUUGAGAAAGCAAAUUGCUGCAACCGCGUCACUUUAGAGAGAAUUGAGCUAGAUAUAAUAAGGAUAUAUAUAUAAGGGCAUAAUUGUCAUUUCAAAAUAUUAAUGAGAACAUACGGGACAUUUCAU